Molecule: long non-coding RNA, 701 nt
Organism: Wyeomyia smithii (pitcher-plant mosquito)
Lineage: Eukaryota; Metazoa; Arthropoda; Insecta; Diptera; Culicidae
Exons: 4
Source: RefSeq, a predicted model, not a curated record
CGCUUCACAGUAGGCUGCGGCGAACGGCACACCUCACGCACUCAUCGCGUAAUGUCAAAAUAACUUAGCACAAUCUGCCUGCCGCCACUUUGGCAGUGGAGAGCUGAAAAAUAAGGUAAUCAACACGGCGGUUCGCGAUUGCUAGCGGAAAUCUCGGUUGUAACUUUGCGGAUUAAAGGCAUGCGCCGGAAGUUUGUUGUGGCCCCAACCCGUAGCUAGGGACAACCGUCGUUGCUAGAAGUCGCUGUUCCACUACUUGUCUCGGAGAAUAAACAACGUGUGGAAGAUUCGCGCUGGAAGACCGUGGCAGCACGCAGUAGGAAGGAGGGUCCAUCAACGUGCUUCAUUAAUUCCGACCGACAUACCGACCGGGAACAACAGCAACAGCAUACCCUUCUUGAUUGGUGGGUCGUUCGGUUGCUAGUUGGGGAAAGUGCAGCAGCGGGAACCAGAGAUAGAGAGGGAAGGCGGAAGGUGAUGCAUCAAAAGGUUUCUUGUGUAUCGCUUUGCUUCCCAUUGAAAUUACCCCAGCCGGGAUGCGUGCGGACUCCUCACACAGCCUGGGAGUAACGGAGUUUGAGUGUGUGGGUACGUUUUGGGGUCCACUGCAACAGCAUCAGCUGCAGCGGUGAAUAAGUUGGAUCAUUGAUAAUAAUGUUUAGCAAUUGCACUCCACUGGGGAACCGAAAUGUUGUAUGAGC